Non-coding RNA from Callorhinus ursinus (northern fur seal), 959 nucleotides. Lineage: Eukaryota; Metazoa; Chordata; Mammalia; Carnivora; Otariidae. The record is from RefSeq and is a predicted model, not a curated record.
GGAAGGCAGCCAGAGAAUUUCCAUCCAAGCGCAACUCACGCAACUGCUUCAAGUUGUAAAAGCUGCUGACAUCAAGGCUGGCCACAGAAUUGUAAGUCACCCAGAGGUACUGGAGCUCCACCAGGUAGUAGAAGGCCUGUGCAGGGAUCCUGCGGAUGACAGUCUUCUCUAGACGUAGCUUCACAGUGUCCACAGUUUCUUCCAGGAGCCAGUGGAUUUUGAGAUAUAUCCAUUGGUAAAAUACUCAUCACGGGCAUUGCUUGAUAAGAAAAUGGAAGAACAAGCUGAAGGAACUUGCUUACUGUUGCAAAGAUAAGAUACUAAAAGAUGAAAUCCAAAGCUCAAGAGUUUUCCAAUACAGCAUAUUCUGGGAAUGAGCUGAAUUUUCAAAUUCUGUCCUCAGUGACAAUAGAGUCUGCUCUUUUUACAACUUUAAUUUUCUUUUUAAGGCCUUUCCAUCUUAACUAGAUUCCACCACCAAAGACAAGACUAUGAACAGGAUGUAUGAGAGCAGUAAAGGACAUAAAAAUACAUUUUUGCCAUGGUACACACUCUUCCCCAAUAAAAACUUGACAAUGUAAUAACCAAAUAUAUGGAUGAUUAUAAAAGAAUUAUUUUAUAGAAAACUUUUCUUAGCCCCACUUCACUACUGUUACAUUGUUUAUCAAGAUUCAAAAUAACUUGUGACAUUAACCACCAUUAACAAUGCCUUUAUUUAUCCUUUCACCUACAUUCUCUUACUAUACAGCCAAGAAAUACGGCAAGUAUUAUUACUCCUAUUUGCGCACCCCACACACACACCCCAACUCAGAAAGGAUAAGUGACUUGUUGGCCAACAACAUGGAACUUGAAACAUCUCUGAACCCAUGCUUUUUCUACCACCUUAUGCUGAAAACCUCUGCUUUUCUUCACCCAUUCGAAAACAAAAUAAUGGUUAAUGGAGUAAACAUCCAUACCUG